UACGAAGGGGGCUAGCGUUGUUCGGAAAGUCACUGGGCGUAAAGCGGCACGUAAGGCGGAGUCUUUAAAGUCAGAGGUGAAAUCCCAAGGCUCAACCUUGGAACUGCCUUUGAUACUGGGGGAAUCUUGAGUCCGGGAGAGGUGAGUGGAACUGCGAGUGUAGAGGUGAAAUUCGUAGAUAUUCGCAAGAACACCAGUGGCGAAGGCGGCUCACUGGCCCGGUACUGACGCUGACGGGUGCGAAAAGCGUGGGGAG
RNAcentral lists this ribosomal RNA (256 nucleotides) under uncultured bacterium. Its description in RNAcentral is "partial 16S ribosomal RNA". It matches the Rfam family "Bacterial small subunit ribosomal RNA", at positions 524 to 768 of the family's 1533-position model. The record is from RNAcentral.